This 2617-nucleotide long non-coding RNA is filed under the name Gossypium barbadense (sea-island cotton). RNAcentral describes it as "long non-coding RNA (GBAR_LNC015922)". The record is from RNAcentral. Lineage: Eukaryota; Viridiplantae; Streptophyta; Magnoliopsida; Malvales; Malvaceae.
UUUCAUGACUUCCAUACAUAAUUUAUCACCUAGACCUUUAUAACAACAAACAUCUUCAUCCUUGGCCAUUUAAACAACCAUUCAUCAUCAAAUACUUACGCAUCAUUCUAUAGUAAAAUCAUAAUUACAAACAUACAAAAUAACUAAAUCCCUAUACAUGCCAUAACUCAAACGUGUUUCAUCAUAAAAUACCGAGCAGUUGUGGUUGAUAGUGUGGACGAUCUCCGACUUCUUUAGGAUCCUGGAAGUAGCUUGGCAAUACUAAAAGAGAAAGAGAAAUAAAAGAAGUAAGCAAAAAGCUUAGUAAGUGUAACACCCCUUACCCGUAUCCAACACCGGAAUAGGGUACGAGGCAUUACCAAAACACAUACACUUGUAAACGUAUUUAACCGAGUUAUAAAAUUUCAUCAAAAUUAAAACUUUCAAAAAUAAUUAACAUGUUUCUAUAACUUUUCACAAUAUAUCCUUAAAAUAUUAUAAUCAUAAUAAUUAGGGCCUGCGAGACCCGAUACAUACUCAUGCAAUUUAAUGCUUCAUUUCCAUUUCAUUCAAUUCGCAAUUUCUCAUGCUCAUAAUUUAAAUCAUAUCACUAGAAAUUUCCAUUUAAUUCACGUACAAUUCAAUGACAUCAAAUUCAAAACUAAUACGUAUUUACCAUUUAACUCAAUGUUUAUUGAUUAUACCAUUCAAUAACACAUUUAUGAAAUUCUCAAUUUAGCAAUGAAAAUAUUACUUUAGUUUGAAUAACAACAUCGUCCUGAUAUAAAUACACUACCACUUAUCCAUUUACUUUAAUUCUUUUGGGCCCAUUUGUCACUUACCAUCUUUAAUCAAAUUAGGGAACGGUCACGGAAAAUUGAGUACUUCACUUUCACUUUGCCAUAGUAUAACUAUGGUCUUACGUAUGAUCACUUAUCACUUGUCCCUGAUCAGAUAAGUGUAGCUAAAGCUAUCACUUAUCACUUUGUCUCUUGAUCAGAUAAGUAUAGCCGAAGCUAUCACUUAUCACUUUUCACUUGUCACUUGAUCAGAUAAGUGUAGCCGAAGCUAUCACUUAUCACUUUGUUACUUGAUCAGAUAAGUAUAGCCGAAGCUAUCACUUAUCACUUUAUCACUUGAUCAGAUAAGUAUAGCCGAAGCUAUUGCUUAUCACUUUCCACUUGUCACUUGAUCAGAUAAGUGUAGCUAAAGCUACCACUUAUCACUUUAUCACUUGAUCAGAAGUACUCAAAUCCGGCGUUCCGCUCAAUUUGAUCAUUUAUUCAUAUAUCAGGCUUACCAACAUGUGUUAAUUCAUAAACCAUUCAUGGUAUUAUUUCAUGCCAAAUCAUAUACUGAAUAUACCAUACACACAUACUAUGAAACUUUAUUUUCACACAUGAGCUUAAACCAUGACCAAUAAUGCACAAAAAUAAGCAUCAUUCAUAUUUCAUCGUUUAUGAGUUAUAAUCAAACAUAUGACCAUUUAUACACGAAUCAUUCAUAUAUUUCCCAAUUUUCCUCCUCCUCCUCUCCAUUCCACAUCCUUAAUGUGUAUAACACACUUAAACAACAUUAACCAUAAUUUCAAUAUUCACUAACAUGUAUAUUCAAAGCUGUUUAUCCGAGUCAGAGUCACUAAAUUAUUUUUAUCCGGAGCUACAGAGCUCCAAAUUAAGAUCCGUUAAUUUUCCCUGAAACUAGACUCACAUAUCUUCAUACCAUAAAAUUUUCAUAAUUUUUGGUUCAGCCAAAUAGUACAGUUUAUUCUUUAAAGUUUCCCCUGUUUCGCUGUCUGACAGUUCCGACCACUCUUCACUAAAAAUUAAUUAUCUCAUUGUACAGAAUUCGGAUGAUGUUUUAGCUUGUUUCUUCUAAAAAUAGACUCAUUAAAGAUUCUAACCAUAUAAACUAUAACUCAUAAUAAUUUCUGUACAAUUUUUAAUGAUUUUCCAAAGUCAGAACAGGGGAACCUGAAUUCAUUCUGACCUUGUCUCACAAAAUCUAUUAUAUCUCAUGAUUUACAAUUCCAUUGCUCACAUCAUUUCUUUUAUAAGAAACUAGACUCAAUAAGCUUUAAUUUCAUAUUUUAUUCAUCCUCUAAUUCAAUCUCUACAAUUUUUGGUGAUUUUUCAAAUUUACACUACUGCUGCUGUCCAAAACUGCUUUAGUGCAAAAUGUUGAUUUCCAUUUUGCCCCAAAUUUCACAGUUUAUACAAUUCGGUCCUUUCUCAAUUAACCCCUCAAUUAAUCUAAUUUUCUCAAUUAGUACUUUACUAGACAUUAUAAGUUGUUACACAACUAUUGAAAUUCAGAAUUUCCACAUAUAACUCUAUCUUCAAACUCUUUUACUAUUAGGUCCCAAACAUUCACUUUCUAUUCAAUUCUUUCAAUAAAAUCAGCAUAUGAACAAUUUAAAGCUCUAAUUUCAUGCUAAAUCAUCAUAUACUUCCAGCACAUAUUCAUAUCAACUUUCAACUUCUUUCAUAAAAUCAAAAACUAAUGAAUUUAACAAGUGGGCCUAGUUGUAAAAGUCAUAAAAAUACAAAAAUUUCAAGAAAUAGUCAAGAAUUGAACUUACUUGUAAUAAAAAUAUGAAGAACCAGCUUGAAGAAGCCCUUCCAUGGUGUUUUAGCUG